This 234-nucleotide non-coding RNA is filed under the name Bacillus cereus. RNAcentral describes it as "T-box sequence". It matches the Rfam family "T-box leader". Rfam says of the family: Uncharged tRNA acts as the effector for transcription antitermination of genes in the T-box leader family. T-boxes are found upstream of many aminoacyl-tRNA synthetase genes and some amino acid biosynthetic genes usually in Gram-positive bacteria. Lineage: Bacteria; Bacillati; Bacillota; Bacilli; Caryophanales; Bacillaceae. The record is from RNAcentral.
CGAAAAGUAAUGAUAAGGACAUGAGAUUAUUUUUACGGUUUACAGAGAGGGAAGCCAAGGGCUGUGAGCUUCCUAACACGAGAAAUAAACUUACCACCUUUGAACUCCGAUAGUGAACGAGUAAUCUAGUAAUUAUUGGCGGUCUCAGCCGUUAUCUGAACUUGAGCAAUUCAAAAUGAAAGUAUAUUUGAAUUGGAACAAGGGUGGAACCACGAAAACACAUUCGUCCCUUUU